UGGAAGACUAGUGAUUUUGUUGUUCUGAUGUACUAUGACAACAAGUCACAGCUUCCUCA
Molecule: microRNA precursor, 59 nt
Filed under: Canis lupus familiaris (dog)
Lineage: Eukaryota; Metazoa; Chordata; Mammalia; Carnivora; Canidae
Also listed under: 1 other name
Description: Cfa-Mir-7-P4_pre stem-loop
Source: RNAcentral